UUUCAAUAAUGUGUUUGUGUCCAUCUAGUAUUGAUAUUUAGCUUUAAUUUUAUGAUAAUAUUUUUGUGUCCAUCGAUUGUUUGUUAAGCAUAAGUACCAACACUAGUUGAUCCUAUUGAUGACAAAAUUGAUUUUCUUGCAAGAUCGAUUUGUGUCCAUCUAGUGUUGAUAUUAAGCUUUAAUUUAGGAAUAAUGUGUUUGUUAAGCAUAAGUAUCAACACUAGUUGAUCCUAUUGAUGACAAAAUUGAUUUUCUUGCAAGAUCGAUUUGUG
This 272-nucleotide long non-coding RNA is filed under the name Solanum tuberosum (potato). RNAcentral's name for it is "long non-coding RNA (STUB_LNC005684)". Lineage: Eukaryota; Viridiplantae; Streptophyta; Magnoliopsida; Solanales; Solanaceae. The record is from RNAcentral.